Drosophila kikkawai is the source of this 190-nucleotide non-coding RNA. The record is from RefSeq and is a predicted model, not a curated record. Lineage: Eukaryota; Metazoa; Arthropoda; Insecta; Diptera; Drosophilidae.
UAGGCCUAACCACAUUAGACAUUUCUAAAAUAUUUGUUUUUCUUUCAAAAUUUUGUUCCAUUUCCAGGCUGAAAAAUGAACCAGUUGAAAAAGACAAGAAGGACCAAGAGUGGUGGCAAUGGUAACCAGUCUUCGUCCAGGAAAUGCUCAGAUAAUCUAAACAGAACCCCCAAAAAUGGCCUAAAUGUUU